This is a long non-coding RNA of Ictalurus furcatus (blue catfish), 1221 nucleotides long. RefSeq lists it as uncharacterized. Lineage: Eukaryota; Metazoa; Chordata; Actinopteri; Siluriformes; Ictaluridae. The record is from RefSeq and is a predicted model, not a curated record. The transcript has 2 exons.
UCAUAUCUUGUACACAGACAACGUGAACACACAGCGAUAAUGGAAAUGAGACACAGCGAUAAUGGAAAUGAGACACAGCAAUAAUGGAAAUGAGACACAGUUAUCAGGAAGCUCAACAUUUACCUCGGAUAUGUUGCUGCACUUUCUGGAAGUGGUGAAGUCAGGCAGAACUCCAGCUUGGUCUCUGAGUGACUCACGCUGGAGGUUUGAGCAGAAAAUCAUCAGGACUCUGUGAUUAUCCGAGGGAUUUUUUUUGCAGCAUCUGCUCCAUAUCAGCCACGUAACGUUCCACUGCAGAGCUCCAACUCCUCAAACGCGACGCUUCCUUUUGCAAUCUCAGACUCUGCCCCUUCCUGCUUGCUGCCGCUGGACGGUGAAAUACACCACCAAAAGUGCCAUGUUCUAAGUUGUCAACACAUGUAGAUGUAAAUACGAGGAAAUGAAGCUGAAAUCCUGAUCUAUCAUCGCGUAUCCAUCUUUUGAUCUCAAACCCAAACGUCUCCAGUGUAUAUCGAAGACAAACGAAUCGGCCUCGCUGUUCCAAUACUUUCGGAGGGGACUCUAUCUCUGGCAGGUGAAUGCAUUUAUUAAUCAAUAAAUUAUAACACAUUUAAUUAAUACUAUAACAUGUUAAAAAAAAAAAGUUUAUCUAGUAUUUAUUAUUUAAUAGUUUUAUUUUUAACCUUUACUACAUUUUUAACAAUUAAAACAAGUUCUUUACACAUUUAACCCUGAUUAUGUUCACUCAACUGUUCACGACUUAUUAUAUAUUACUUGCCAAAGUAUUCCUCUCUUAACAUUUCAACACACACAUUAUUCUAAUUAGUUUUAUACAGAUUUCAGUCCGGAUGUGCAUCUGACCUUAUAGGCUUUAUAUUUUACAACCUUUCCUCUCUCACGUUUUAAUCAGAAUAAAAACUAGACGUGAACUGAAACAGAAUCCAAACACACUCACUGCAAACACGGUUCAUAAAAGGUACUGACUAGUGUGUGGUAAUGCCAAAGAGAAACAUUUUAUUUAGUAAAAAAUACACACACACACACACACACACACACAAAGAAACAGGUUCAAACGUCACAAAAUUUUAUUUAGAUUGCUAUAUUAUCAUAACUUUUAUUAAACCAUGAAAACACACACACACACACACACUCUCUCUCUCUCUCUCCUGUCCACUUCAUUUUACUGGAUCAACAAGAGGCGGAGCUUAAGUUACAUUUGAU